GGACUCGUGCAACCGCCAAAACGGCCUGUCACUGUAAGGCACAAACAUGAUCACGCAAGAUGCGAUAGUAGAUUUAAGCCAGUUGUUUUUAAGUUUGUGUUUAAGGAGAAACUAACAAUGAAAACGGCCUCGUUGACGGAGGAAAAGUUGGAAUGCAGCCUCUGGUGCUGUUUGAGCGAUCCCUCUCCCCGGGGCCUGGCCGCGCGCUGCUGUGUUCUGGAAGGGCUCAUUGUACAGUCAAGGCGGCAGGCUGGAGUGCAGUGGCACGAUCUGGUCUCACUGCAACCUCCGCCACCCAGGUUCAAGCGAUUCUCCUGCCUCAGCCUCCCGAGUAGCUGGGAUUACAGGCACCUGCCACCCCACCUGGCUAAGUUUUGUGGUUUUAGUAGAGACGGGGUUCACCAUCUUGGCCAGGCUGGUUUUGAACUCCUGACCUCGUGAUCCACCUGCCUCGGCCUCCUAAAAUCCUGGGAUUACAGGUGUGAGCCACUGUGCCUGGCUGAACUUUCAAGAAGAAGUUUGUGUAUCAAUUUUCAAAAAACUAUCAUAUCAAAAGAGAGCUGUGUCCUACAUUUGGAAAGAUACAAAAACUGAACCUUCUGGCAGGCAGUUUUGCUUGCUGGAGCUUGAGAUAGAGCCACACAUUGGCCUCAGUGGAUUUAUGGAGAAAAAUAGAUACAGAAAGUUAUUUAUAAAUAAGACCAAAAAAUCCUUUUCUUGAGCAGUGACAGGUAAAGAGGUUGUCUUGGUUAACCUUGAAAUGUGUUGCCCUUGAUCAAGACAGUUUUAUGGUGGGGAUGGUAGUGGAGAUAAACUUGUUUGACAUUUGUCCACUUAUGGUAACCUUUGUGGUGGCUGUCACAGACAACUUCAUCCUCACAGACCUUAAAAUUACUGUAAAACUAAUAGAAUGGAGGAGAAACAAGGGACCUGAAUAAUUAGAUGCUUAGAUAAUUGUAAUGUGUUUUCAUAACUGGUGAAAAACAGCAGUGUUAGAAGCACUUAAACAUUCUAUGUAAGGAACACUGCCUGAAUUUAUAUUGUGAUUUUUGAGCACCAUUCACUGUUUAAAAACUGGCAUAUUGUAGGUCAUAUUUUAAAGACAAAUAGAAAACUUAUCUUUUCAAGAUUGAUAUAAAGCUUAACCUUAUCAAAAUUACAAAAUUUAAAAAAUAUGAUUGAAAAAUAUUAAUGCAUAGGUUUAAAUAUUGGUCAUCAUUUUAGAUGUCUUUCAAAAUAGAUUGUCUUUUAAAUAUUAAACUGAACAAACUU
This is a long non-coding RNA of Homo sapiens (human), 1272 nucleotides long. Lineage: Eukaryota; Metazoa; Chordata; Mammalia; Primates; Hominidae. The record is from Ensembl.